AGGAGGGGGAUAACAGAGUGAAAACGCUGCUAAUACCCCAUAUGCUUUCGAGUGAAAUGGAUUUAUUCGCCUAAAGAGAAGCUCGCGGCUGAUUAGCUUGUUGGUAAGGUAAUGGCUUACCAAGGCGACGAUCAGUAUCUGGUUUGAGAGGACGAUCAGACACACUGGAACUGAGACACGGUCCAGACUCCUACGGGAGGCAGCAGUGGGGAAUUUUCCGCAAUGGGCGAAAGCCUGACGGAGCAAUACCGCGUGAGGGAUGACUGCCUAUGGGUUGUAAACCUCUUUUCUCAGGGAGGAAAUCAAUGACGUUACCUGAGGAAUAAGCAUCGGCUAACUCCGUGCCAGCAGCCGCGGUAAGACGGAGGAUGCAAGUGUUAUCCGGAAUCACUGGGCGUAAAGCGUCUGUAGGUGGCUUAACAAGUCAACUGUUAAAUCUUGAAGCUCAACUUC
This 453-nucleotide ribosomal RNA is filed under the name uncultured Arcocellulus. RNAcentral's name for it is "bacterial SSU rRNA". It matches the Rfam family "Bacterial small subunit ribosomal RNA", at positions 134 to 616 of the family's 1533-position model. The record is from RNAcentral. Lineage: Eukaryota; Bacillariophyta; Thalassiosirophyceae; Cymatosirales; Cymatosiraceae.